This 654-nucleotide ribosomal RNA is filed under the name Pseudomonas sp. AT-MI-31. RNAcentral describes it as "bacterial SSU rRNA". It matches the Rfam family "Bacterial small subunit ribosomal RNA", at positions 55 to 705 of the family's 1533-position model. Lineage: Bacteria; Pseudomonadati; Pseudomonadota; Gammaproteobacteria; Pseudomonadales; Pseudomonadaceae. The record is from RNAcentral.
AUGCAGUCGAGCGGAUGAAGGGAGCUUGCUCCUGGAUUCAGCGGCGGACGGGUGAGUAAUGCCUAGGAAUCUGCCUGGUAGUGGGGGAUAACGUCCGGAAACGGGCGCUAAUACCGCAUACGUCCUGAGGGAGAAAGUGGGGGAUCUUCGGACCUCACGCUAUCAGAUGAGCCUAGGUCGGAUUAGCUAGUUGGUGGGGUAAAGGCCUACCAAGGCGACGAUCCGUAACUGGUCUGAGAGGAUGAUCAGUCACACUGGAACUGAGACACGGUCCAGACUCCUACGGGAGGCAGCAGUGGGGAAUAUUGGACAAUGGGCGAAAGCCUGAUCCAGCCAUGCCGCGUGUGUGAAGAAGGUCUUCGGAUUGUAAAGCACUUUAAGUUGGGAGGAAGGGCAGUAAGUUAAUACCUUGCUGUUUUGACGUUACCAACAGAAUAAGCACCGGCUAACUUCGUGCCAGCAGCCGCGGUAAUACGAAGGGUGCAAGCGUUAAUCGGAAUUACUGGGCGUAAAGCGCGCGUAGGUGGUUCAGCAAGUUGGAUGUGAAAUCCCCGGGCUCAACCUGGGAACUGCAUCCAAAACUACUGAGCUAGAGUACGGUAGAGGGUGGUGGAAUUUCCUGUGUAGCGGUGAAAUGCGUAGAUAUAGGAAGGA